Molecule: long non-coding RNA, 1698 nt
Organism: Cygnus olor (mute swan)
Lineage: Eukaryota; Metazoa; Chordata; Aves; Anseriformes; Anatidae
Exons: 3
Source: RefSeq, a predicted model, not a curated record
ACAGCAGAGCGAGGAGGCAGCUGAACAUGAAGGAAAGUCGUCGAACAUUACAUCCAGAGACAUGCUUUGGGGGAACCUGAAAUUAAAAAAUGUAUAAUUAAUUGUGCCGCUGCUGAGCAUGUGCUUUUACUUAUUGCUUCCUUACAAGUGACAAGAGGCCACCUUUUUGCCUGUGACGGGGAAACAAGGUCGCCGUGUGCGGAAUUUUAAGUCCGUCGGGUCCUUUUUGGCGUAGGAGAGAGCACCGCUCCUUGGAGAUGGCCACCGGCGCUAGUCCUCUUAUCAGCAAGGUAUCUGAAUCAACGAACGUGGGUACAGUUACACCUCAUCCAGACUCAGUUUUCUGUUUGUUGACGCAGUGCCCCUGGCUCUGAACCUCGUGGUAGGGAUUGCACCACAUAUUGGCGUGCCCACUAGUGGUUUUCAAAGGCUCGCUUAAAGCAGGGGAAUGUGCAGAAGAACAGCACUGAAGGAAAUCCAAAACUGGGAACUACAGGAGUGGUAACUCCACUAUAUGCUUUUCAUGAAGCCUGUGUAAACCCACCUGAGUGAGCUCUGCAGCCUGUGAUUCAGUGCGAGCUUGGGAGCAGCGGCUGGUACUAUCCCCCUGCCCAGAAUGCUCCCUCCUGCCCCACAGAGACCCAGCACCUGGAACCACUAUCAAAGAAGCAUUCGUAUUUUGUCUGAAUUUGCACAUGGCUUAGAGUGGAGCCUUCAGUGGACAUUAGGGAACCCAGGCUUGGAAGGUUACAGACUUGUCCAGUACUUCUUUCUAGGAAGCUCCAACCACCUUCUCCAGGAGGGCAUCUCCUCAGAGAAUUUUGGCAAGGCUGUUUUCCUGAAUGAUCUGUACAUCUUCCCCUCCACUGCAUGUCUUCUCAGAAGGAAGCUAAAGUCAAAGUAUCUGAAGUUUAACAGACUGCUGAAGAUGGCAGAAUAUGCACUUCUGCUGAGCGUAUCACCCCAAGCCUCACACAGCACUGUAGCAGCCAGGGUUGUUGUAACAGAGACUGGGUUAGUAUUUCUGAUCCCGUGAGUGGUGAAAUGUAUUUUUCACUAAAGCAUUGAUACUAGGAACUAAGUAAUUCUUGUGUUUUGCUUUGUCAUGGUUAGUCACGCCAUUUUCACCAUAACUGAAAAAGAGAAAUAGACACUGAGAAAUUAUCACUGAGCACCUGCCUUUGUGGUUUGGAGAGGAUGGGUGGGGGCUGGAUUGCAGAGGAAUGUAUUUUGGGUCUUUGUGACCCUGCCCUCUGGGCAAGAGGAAAAACAUGGGUUGUUCGAGGAUGUGUUUGUCAGUGCCAGUUAGGGAGAGAAAGUUGGAAAAUUAAAUGUAUAUAUGUGUAUCUUUCUAUUUCUGGAAGCCGCCUUUCUCAUCUUAUUACCCUUGCAAUUAUACAUUUUAAUUCUGUAACUUUCCAUUUCAGUACACAAACGACAUUCAAAUACAUUUGUCUCCUGAAUCCUGAUCUUACUAAACCUUGCUGCUGUCUGCUAUACUGAUGUCAUUCGACUUGGAGAAUUUAGCAUAAUAUGUUUUGACCAGUAAAAAGCAAAAUGCACAUAUUCACAAACAUUUCAGAAGUUCAUUGUGGGCCCAAAUGCACUGCUAACUUCAGAUUCAUCAACUAUUGUAGCUUACUGAUGUACAGGAAAAUCUACUGCAAAGAUUUUACCAAGUUUUUUAUUAAAAUUUAU